This 620-nucleotide ribosomal RNA is filed under the name uncultured bacterium. RNAcentral describes it as "bacterial SSU rRNA". It matches the Rfam family "Bacterial small subunit ribosomal RNA", at positions 26 to 678 of the family's 1533-position model. The record is from RNAcentral.
AGAAUCAACGCUGGCGGCGUGCCUAACACAUGCAAGUCGAACGAGAAAGUGGAGCAAUCCAUGAGUAAAGUGGCGCACGGGUGAGUAACACGUGACUAACCUACCCUUGAGUGGGGAAUAACUUCGGGAAACCGAGGCUAAUACCGCAUAAUACCCACGGGUCAAAGGAGCAAUUCGCUUAAGGAGGGGGUCGCGGCUGAUUAGUUAGUUGGCGGGGUAAUGGCCCACCAAGACGAUGAUCAGUAUCCGGCCUGAGAGGGCGCACGGACACACUGGAACUGAAACACGGUCCAGACUCCUACGGGAGGCAGCAGUGGGGAAUUUUGCACAAUGGGGGAAACCCUGAUGCAGCAACGCCGCGUGGAGGAUGAAGUCCCUUGGGAUGUAAACUCCUUUCGACCGGGACGAUAAUGACGGUACCGGUGGAAGAAGCCCCGGCUAACUCUGUGCCAGCAGCCGCGGUAAUACAGAGGGGGCAAGCGUUGUUCGGAAUUAUUGGGCGUAAAGGGUGCGUAGGCGGUGCGGUAAGUCUUUUGUGAAAUCUCCGGGCUCAACUCGGAGUCUGCAGGAGAAACUGCCGUGCUUGAGUAUGGGAGAGGUGAGUGGAAUUCCUGGUGUAG